GGGCCGGCCACUUUAGGUGGAAAGGGUGAGAUAUUUAGGCAAGUUGUUGACUAGGUUUCUUUUGUCUAUAUAAGGAACUUUAUAGAGAUAUUGUUCAUUAGGGUUUUUGUGUGUUUAAAACAACAAAGAGGCAAAAGAAAUAUCUCUCUAAAACACAUCAAAGGCCGGCCACCUUGGGGUGAUUUUACUAACACAUCUUUCACCCUUUGGUUAUUCCUUCAUCCUUCUCACUACACUAGUGGGUGAGGAUCUUUAGAGGUUUUCAACUUUGGAAACUUGAAGAGAACCUAGGAGCACUCAUUCUUUCAAAGUGGAGGAGGCAAGGAGGGAGGCUAGGCUCAAGGAUUUCAAGGAGCAAAGGGCUUGGAGGUGGUCCAUCCUUGGUCUUAAGUCUAGAUCAAGAGGUAUAAGACUAAACCUUCACUUUGUUCUUGGUUCUCUAAAAUGUUUUUGAUGCAUUAUAUAUAAACCUAUGAACCUUGAAGGGGAUUUGCAUGACUAUUGCUUUGAUAAUUUGUGAUAAAUGCUUCCGUUGCUCAUGUAUAUAAACUUUUGAAUUGUAUAUGCAUGCUAGUCAUUUAGAAAUCCCAUAUAUGAAUCUCAUAGAUUUCCCUUCAAGUGGUAUCAGAGCCAAAGGUUUAUGUAUAAUGUGUCCUUUUGGAUUUUAUGCAUAUGGGUAUUAAUGUUAUGUAUGACAUAUUAUUGUUUCAUUCAAAGUAUGUUUAUCUUUUGUUUUUCAAUAGUUGAAAAAUGUUAGUCAAAAGUUGAGAAAGAUAUGUAUGCAAAAAUGUUUUGUAUGCAUGAAUGAAAAAUGAGUUUAGAACUAGUUUGACAUAUUAUUUCUUCAUUUAAAGUAUGUUUGUCUUUUGUUUUUCAAUGGUUGAAAAAUAUAAAUCAAGAGUUGAAAAGAUAUGCAUGUAAAAGUUGUUUUGUAUGCAUGAAUGAAGAAUAAGUCAUGAACAAAAUUUUGGGGUUUUGAACCAAAAGGGAGGGCACGGUUUUGGGGGUGGUUUUGGGUUGUGUUUGUGUUUUAUUGUAAACCACUCUCACAUCCUUUUAAAGUUAGAAAGAAGUGUUCUUGUCACUUUUGUUUUUGGGUUUGAAAAAUCACCAAGAAUAUACAAAUCUUGAAAAUGUGUUCAUGGUUUUGUUCUUGGUGUUCAUGGUUUGGUUUUAGGUGAAAAUGGUUUUAUUUGGUUUUCAUGCAUUGUUUUGUGUUUUUGGAUGAUGUUCAUACCAUCCAUAACCAUAUCAUAUAUUUAUAAAACCCUAGGCUUGACUAGGAGGAUUUCCAUCACCUUUUCCCUAAAGUCUUUGAAGCAAAACCUAGUGACAAGCAAAAUUUAAUUUUUUCUACAUAAUGUGGUUUUUGAUGCAUGUUGUGUAAGAGUGUGUAAGAAACCUCCCAUCCCCUUAAUGUGGCCGGCCUCCCUAGUGGAUUUAUCCACUUGUGGGGCUAUUUUGUAAUCUUUGAAAAGUUGAUAUUUACUUUUGAGUAUUUACGGUUUGACCCCUAACUUUUUCAUAUUUGCAUUUAGGCCCUUACUAACUAGAAAGUUAAAAUAUUUGAUUUUAAUUUUGUUAGUUGUUUAAACUCAUAAUACUAUUAUGCCCAUAUGCAUUAAAUCUAAAUGUUCAUGUUGCAUUCCAUUUUGAUUAUUUAAUGUGAUUAAGUAGUUAGAAAAAGGGUGACUAUGGACUUAUGCCUUAAACGAUAAUUGAGCUAUGAGAUAAGGCGCUAAAAUCAAAUUGUUUGAACCUUGGGAAUGUGUUUUAAUUACUGUUUAAUUGGACCUUGUCACGUUUGACGUUAAUCUAUCUCUCCCCUUUUAGUAUGUGUAAUUUAUAGGAAUUUGUACAAAUCGGUUUGUAAUUCUUAUUACUUCUUAAUCUCUUUUAGUUAGUUGAUUCCCUCUAGUGCUAGACUAGAGUUUCUUUAACUAUUGGUAAGGAGACCUAACUAAAAGAGGGUUUUGACAUGAGAUUAAAGAUUAAAUGGGUCCAAUGCCCUAAUUAGCAAUGAAUGAUUGUCUUUCAUUUCUAAUGGCUCAAUGAAAAUGUUUUAAUUGGAUUGAUAAGCACGUAAUUAAAUUGACACAACCUCCCCGAGUUUAUAUUCAACAAUGUUGGCUCGUUGUUGCAAUAACCUAAUAAGUCCAUGGUCAUCCAAGAGCCUAAGAUAACUAUAAAAGUCCAAUUUCAAUGGAAUGCAAAAACCCUUAGUAGUAGUAGUUACUUCCAAUAUUUGAAAAAUGUUUUGAUAUUGAUUUGUUUUAUGAAAACAAAUAGUGGGAGUAUCAUACGCUACUAAACCAUAAUGAAUACAAUUAGUAGUUAUAUAUAUCUCCAAUAUUUUGAAAAAUGUUUUGAUAUUGAUUUGUUUUAUGAA
RNAcentral lists this long non-coding RNA (2389 nucleotides) under Malus domestica (apple). Its description in RNAcentral is "long non-coding RNA (MDOM_LNC001798)". Lineage: Eukaryota; Viridiplantae; Streptophyta; Magnoliopsida; Rosales; Rosaceae. The record is from RNAcentral.